This is a long non-coding RNA of Girardinichthys multiradiatus, 375 nucleotides long. RefSeq lists it as uncharacterized. The transcript is spliced from 2 exons. NCBI's taxonomy places the organism in Eukaryota, Metazoa, Chordata, Actinopteri, Cyprinodontiformes, Goodeidae. The record is from RefSeq and is a predicted model, not a curated record.
UACCUGGAUGUUACCCAGGCUGGACCAUCUUACUGCUUCGUUAAACUCAUUUUGUCUCGGACUUUUAAAGUACCUGAGCUUCUCAGAUGCCACGUUGUUAUUGUUCUACUGGACUAACCUUGCUGGCUGCUGCCAGGUGCUUCCUGCCUCACACCGAUCCCGCAGAACCUGUCCACCCUCCAUCGCUCUCAAGCAACCCAACUCCGGCACCAUACUACCUGACGCUGUUGCCCACUUCUUGUUUGGUGCCUUCGCACUGUGCUCUCAUUCCGGUCAGUCCGAAUCUCUCUCCUGGCGGAGAACUCACCCAGCCUACCCCGCCAUGUACCAGAGCACCCAGUAUUCCUGUAUUCAAUAAAACUCAUUACAAACUUU